Molecule: non-coding RNA, 73 nt
Organism: Chloroflexi bacterium GWC2_70_10
Lineage: Bacteria; Bacillati; Chloroflexota
Source: Rfam
GGGCGCGUAGCUCAGCGGUCAGAGCACUCGGUUCACAUCCGAGUGGUCGGAGGUUCGAUCCCUCCCGCGCCCA